Molecule: long non-coding RNA, 493 nt
Filed under: Homo sapiens (human)
Lineage: Eukaryota; Metazoa; Chordata; Mammalia; Primates; Hominidae
Description: non-protein coding lnc-KHDRBS3-19:1
Source: RNAcentral
GGGGAUGGCAGAGGGAAUCACCGCAGGAAGUCAGGGCAGGCAGGCAGAACCCAACAGACUCCCUGAGUUGAAGAGGCAGAGGUGAGAGUACAGGAGAGUUUGCAGGACACAGUACCAGGGAAGAGGAGGCUGCACAAAGGCAGAAGCCCAAAGAUCUGCAGAGAGUCCCUGUGGGAUGCCAAGGAAUGGUCUCCAAAGAUGGCUACAUCCUCAUCCUCAAAACCUGGGAACAGGUUACUUUCCAUAACAAAAGGGAAUUAAAGUUGCAGAGGGAAUUAAGGUUGCUUGUCAUAUGCCCUUAAAAUAGGGGGAUGAUCCUGGAUUAUCUGACCCCAGUUGGGUCAGAGAGGUGAGAGGAAGGAGAGGUUCGAAGUGUGAGAGGUGCUCAGCCACCAUGGCUGGCUUGGAGAUAGAGGAAGGGACAUGAGGAGGAAUACAGGCGGCCUUGGGAGGCCUGCCAUGUACAGCAAGCCAGGACAUGGGGAUCUCACAG